UCGACCCAUUCUAAACGAGGAUGCCACUGAGUUUCAGCAUAUUAUCAAUAAGCGAGGAAAAGAAACCAAAUGGGAUUCUUAGUAACGCUAGCGAACAGGAAGAGCCCACUUGAAAAUUGGCGUCGCCGGCAUUGAAUUAUGUCGGAGAAGUCCUCAGCGAUGGGCGACCGAAGUUCCUGGAGUAGCCGGAGAGGGUGAGAGAAACUUCGCGGUGCGGAACCUCGACUAACGCAGGCGGCCCACGAGUCGGGUUGUUUGGGAAUGCAGCCCAAUCGGGCGGUAAAUUCAGUCGAAGAUAAAUAUGGCCGAUAGCGAACAAAAGUACCGUGAGGUAAAAGAUGAAAAAGGACUUUGAAAGAGAAUAAAAGAUUGCUUGAAAUUGUCGGGGAGGGAUGGGGGCCGGGGCCGAGCGCGCCCGGUCGGAUGCGAACGAGUGAAAUCCGUCCUGGAAAAACUGGGAACCGGCCGGAUUAAGGUGGUGACUGGCCUAAGCCGGGCUUUUUGUUAAGCCAGCGGGAAGGCGUCGUACUAUCAAAAUAAAUGAUGCAGCCGCAGCGCCUCGGCGUGCCUGAAACGUCUAUAAGUACUUUCAGGCGUCGGCACGGCUCCCCAUUUGACCCGUCAGAAACCACGUUAAGGAGUCUGACAUGUAAUGCGAGUCAGCGGUGAAGGUAAAGCGCAGGCAUGAGGAGGCUUUGAUUGGCUGGGAUCCCUCGGUGCCUGACCCGGCCGACCUUGAUCUUCUGAGAAAGUUUGAGUGUGAGCAUGCGCCGGGGACCGAAAGAUGGUGAACCAUGCCUUGGCGGAAGCAAGCGGGAAAACUCUGGUGGAAGCCCAUGACCGAUCUUGUGUGCAAAUGCGUUAAAUAGGACUUGGGUAUAGGGCGAAAAGACUAAUCCCGAAUCAGUAGCUGGUUUCCUCGAAGUUUCCCUCAGGAUAGCUGGGCUGGGAAGCAGUUCUAUCGGAGUAAAACCAAUGAUUAGAGGCAUGGGGCGCCAAUGUCACGACUGAUUCUCAAACUUUAAAUAGGUAGGGACGGGGUGAAACUUUGUUGGGUCAUCCCGAAUCGAAACUCAAAUGGGCCAUUUUGGUAAGCAGAACUGGCGUGCGGGAUGAACAGGAAGCCAGAGGUUCGUUGCCCAACUGUAGCUAACCUAGAACCCACAAAGGUGUUGGUGAUUAAGACAGCGGGGCCCGUGGUCAUGGAAAUCGAGUAAUCAUUAAGUGUGUAACAACUCACCCCGAAUCAACUAGCCAGAAAAUGGAUGGCGCUGGAAAGCGCGACCUAUACCGACCGUCGGGGCAAAGAGCCGAACCCUCGAUGAUGGUAGGAGAAGGUGUUGGUCGCUGCAAAACCUAGAAGACCCGGCCAGGCGGAAAACGUCGGUGUCGGAUCUUGGUGGUAGUAGCAAAUAUUCAAAUGAGAACUUUGAAGGCCGAAGGGGAAAGGUUCCAUGUGAGCGGCACUUGCACAUGGGUUAGUCGAUCUAAAGAGUGGGAAACCCGUCUGAUUAUGCACAAAAGACGAACCGAAAGGAUCGGUUAAAAUUCCGGAACAGGGCGUGGCGGUUGGCGACAGCGUUAGAAGUCCGGAGGCGUCGGCGAAAUUCGGAAAAGUUAUCUUUUCUGUUUAACAACCUGCCCACCCUGAAGCGGCUCAGCCGGAGGUAAGUCCAGCGGCUGGAAAAACCCGCCGCGUCGCGUGGUGUCCGGUGCAUUCCCGUGACCGCGAAAAUCGGGAGGACCGGUACGCUCACGCCGGUCGUACUCAUAACCGCAUCAGGUCUCCAAAGGUGAACAGCCUCUGGUCGAUGGAACAAUGUAGGCAAAGGGAAAUUGAGCAAAAUGGAUCCGUAACCGGGAAAAGGAUUGGCUCGAGGGCUGGGCUCGGGGGUCCCCGAUUCCGAACCCGUCGACUAUUGGCGGGCUGCUUGAGCUGCUAACGUGGCGAACCGGACCGCCUCGUCGAGAGGGGGACUGAAGCCCUCUUUCCGAGAACUUUCCGGGCGUCGAACAACUUGAACUCAGAACUGGGUACGGACAAAGGGAAUCCGGCUGUUUAAUUAAAACAAAGCAUUGCGAUGGUCCCUGCGGAUGCUAACAAAAUGUGAUUUCUGCCCAGUGCUCACUGAAUGUCAAAGUGAAGAAAUUCAACAAGCGCGGGUAAACGGCGGGAAGUAACUAUGACUCUCUUAAGGUAGCCAAAUGCCUCGUCAUCUAAUUAGUGGCGCGCAUGAAUGGAUUAACGAGAUUCCCACUGUCCUGUCUACUAUCCAGCGAAACCACAGCCAAAGGGAGCGGGCUUGGCAGAAUCAGCGGGGAAAAAGACCCUGUUGAGCUUGACUCUAGUCCGACUUUGUGAAAUGACUUGAGAGGUGUAGAAUAAGUGGGAGCUCCGGCGCAAGUGAAAUACCACUACUUUUAACGUUAUUUUACUUACUCCGUGAAUCGGAGGCGGGGUAACAACCCUUCUUUUAGACCAAGACUCGCUUCGGCGUGUCGAUCCCGCAUUAAUUUCCUCCCAAAACGGGAACCUUAAAAAAUUCAAGUAUAUGAUGGAAGAUCGAAUAGCAUAAGUCCGUUGAUAAUUGAUUGACUUGGACGGUCCGUCCAUCGGACCGCCUUAAAUUAUAAUUACCAGGAUCUGGCCAAAAGGAAGAAUCCAAUGCUGCGACUUAAAUGGUGCAUCGGAGGAAAAUGUAAAUUAACAGAUGAUGGCGAGUGGCAUGCUGAUAUGUAUUCAGCCCAGUUCAAUCAGGAUCGGGAAGUCCAUUGGAAGGCCAGCAUGCGAUAUAUUAAACCGACCAAUUCCCAGUUGUCCCCUCGUUAAAACGGAAGUCCCAAAAAAUUCCAGCAUGUUAUGUCCCCAAUGGCCAGCGUUGGGUUUUUCAAAAUCGGUACCCGGAAUCGGUGCGGAUUUUUAAUAUAAAGUUGUCAAAAUCCGAUAAUCAACAUGCUGAUAUGAGUUCAGUACGGGAUCAGUUCACGGAUCAGUACACCCGCCACGGAUCAAAUUACGGAUCAAGUCCCGGAAGACCAACAUUCAUGAUAUGUGGUCAGCAUGCUGCUGAUAUGAGUUCAGUUGGGAUCAGUACCGGAUCAGUACGGACGGUCAAUGUCCCAGGAUCGCGAUAUAUGGUCAACAUGCUGAUAUGGAUUCU
This 3161-nucleotide ribosomal RNA is filed under the name Brassica rapa (field mustard). RNAcentral describes it as "eukaryotic LSU rRNA". It matches the Rfam family "Eukaryotic large subunit ribosomal RNA", at positions 1 to 2588 of the family's 3401-position model. Lineage: Eukaryota; Viridiplantae; Streptophyta; Magnoliopsida; Brassicales; Brassicaceae. The record is from RNAcentral.